GCCUUGCCCUAAACAAAAGUAGCAAAGUAUGUCUGCUACUCGCCCGGGAACUACGAGCAAAAGCUUAAAACCCAAAGGACUUGGCGGUGCUUUAGACCCACCUAGAGGAGCCUGUUCUGGAACCGAUAACCCCCGUUCAACCUCACCCUCUCUUGUUCCACCCGCCUAUAUACCGCCGUCGUCAGCUUACCCUGCAAAGGACACACAGUAAGCAUAACUGGCAUAGCCCAAAACGUCAGGUCGAGGUGUAGCGUAUGAGAGGGGAAGAAAUGGGCUACAUUCCCUGACACAGUGUACACGAACGAUGUGAUGAAAUAAACAUCUAAAGGAGGAUUUAGCAGUAAGAAGGAAAGCAGAGCGUUCCUCUGAAAAUGGCCCUGAAGCGCGC
RNAcentral lists this ribosomal RNA (388 nucleotides) under Philypnodon macrostomus. Its description in RNAcentral is "partial 12S ribosomal RNA". It matches the Rfam family "Bacterial small subunit ribosomal RNA", at positions 794 to 1384 of the family's 1533-position model. The record is from RNAcentral. Lineage: Eukaryota; Metazoa; Chordata; Actinopteri; Gobiiformes; Eleotridae.